UACGAAGGGGGCUAGCGUUGUUCGGAAUUACUGGGCGUAAAGGGCGCGUAGGCGGGAUGGCAAGUCGGUCGUGAAAUCCUUCGGCUCAACCGAAGAACGUCGAUCGAUACUGCUGUUCUUGAGGGUUGCAGAGGAGACUGGAAUUCCCGGUGUAGCGGUGAAAUGUGUAGAGAUCGGGAGGAACACCGGUGGCGAAGGCGGGUCUCUGGGCAACUCCUGACGCUGAGGCGCGAAAGCGUGGGGAGCAAACGGG
This 253-nucleotide ribosomal RNA is filed under the name uncultured bacterium. RNAcentral describes it as "partial 16S ribosomal RNA". It matches the Rfam family "Bacterial small subunit ribosomal RNA", at positions 524 to 776 of the family's 1533-position model. The record is from RNAcentral.